RNAcentral lists this ribosomal RNA (792 nucleotides) under uncultured bacterium. Its description in RNAcentral is "bacterial SSU rRNA". It matches the Rfam family "Bacterial small subunit ribosomal RNA", at positions 9 to 796 of the family's 1533-position model. The record is from RNAcentral.
GAGUUUGAUCCUGGCUCAGGAUGAACGCUAGCGGCAGGCUUAACACAUGCAAGUCGAGGGGCAGCACGGGUAGCAAUACCUGGUGGCGACCGGCAAACGGGUGCGGAACACGUACGCAAUCUACCUUUGUCUGGGGCAUAGCCCGGAGAAAUCCGGAUUAACUCCCCAUAAGAUAUUAAUAUGGCAUCAUAUAGAUAUUAAAACUCCGGUGGACAGAGAUGAGCGUGCGUCCCAUUAGCUAGUUGGUAGGGUAAUGGCUUACCAAGGCGACGAUGGGUGGCUGGUGUGAGAGCACGACCAGCCACACGGGCACUGAGACACGGGCCCGACUCCUACGGGAGGCAGCAGUGAGGAAUAUUGGUCAAUGGACGCAAGUCUGAACCAGCCAUGCCGCGUGAAGGAUGAAGGCCUUCUGGGUUGUAAACUUCUUUUAUCUGGGAAGAAACCCCUGAUUUCUAUUAGGGCCGACGGUACCAGAGGAAUAAGCACCGGCUAACUCCGUGCCAGCAGCCGCGGUAAUACGGAGGGUGCAAGCGCUAUCCGGAUUCACUGGGUUUAAAGGGUGUGUAGGCGGGCACUUAAGUCAGUGGUGAAAUCUCCAGGCUCAACCUGGAAACUGCCAUUGAUACUAUUUGUCUUGAAUAUUGUUGAGGUAGGCGGAAUAUGUCAUGUAGCGGUGAAAUGCUUAGAUAUGACAUAGAACACCAAUUGCGAAGGCAGCUUACUAAACAAAGAUUGACGCUGAGGCACGAAAGCGUGGGGAUCAAACAGGAUUAGAUACCCUGGUAGUCC